This 718-nucleotide unclassified non-coding RNA is filed under the name Hevea brasiliensis (rubber tree). The record is from RNAcentral. Lineage: Eukaryota; Viridiplantae; Streptophyta; Magnoliopsida; Malpighiales; Euphorbiaceae.
GGAGGGUGUUUUUGAUUUGAUUUGCUUGCACUUUUAGAUAUUUUAAUUUGUUUCGUAUAACUGUGUAGAAUUUUAUUCUUUGCAUUAUAGGCUAGCUAUCACAUUUCUACCUCCUGUCUAUCUUCAUUUUAUUUAAAAAAUCGCCAUUUGAUUCUCACGUCUCAUCAACAACCCAUUUUGCCAUUUCAGGAUAUUAAUAGAUUUUUCUCUUCUAUAUUUAUUAUUGGAUGUGUAAUCUAAUAAUGAAAUACUUGUUUCUCUUAAUAUAUUUUGUUAGGAUUUUAUAUGGUCCUUCAAUUUUAUUUUCGUAUCAUCAGUACUUGUAUUUGUUAUCAGUAUCUGUUCUUGUGUUGGAUUUAGAAAUGGAAAAUUUUCAGGAAAACAAAAACAUGUGCAUCUGCGCGAUAGGGUUGCAUAGACAGGAUAGACUUUAACUUAUACGGAUAAGUAUUGUCACAAAGAUAAGAAAAAUGUGAUUAUAUCCAUAAAUCAAACACACACAAAGAAAGAUUCUUUUUCUCACUGCUUUUCAUUGAAUAAAAGCAGCAUUUUCUGAAAAAUGGGUAAUAGCUGAUUUCAAGUAGUGUUUUGGACUGACCUUAGACGAGCGUUAUUAUUUAGUUAACACAAUAUUGAGAAAGAUCCAUAGAAUGACUUGUCAUUGAGAAAGUGUGACAAGGUCCAACAAGUGAUAAACGUAAUCAAAUCAACUAUAAUU